UGGGGGAUAUUGCACAAUGGGCGAAAGCCUGAUGCAGCGACGCCGCGUGGGGGAUGAAGGCCUUCGGGUUGUAAACUUCUUUUGCUCUGAACAAGGCGCACCAUGGGGUGUGUUGAGUGUAGGGGUUGAUUAGCGCCGGCUAACUACGUGCCAGCAGCCGCGGUAAUACGUAGGGCGCGAGCGUUGUCCGGAAUUAUUGGGCGUAAAGGGCUUGUAGGUGGCUGGUUGCGUCUGUCGUGAAAGCUCAUGGCUUAACUGUGGGUUUGCGGUGGGUACGGGCUGGCUUGAGUGCAGUAGGGGAGGCUGGAAUUCCUGGUGUAGCGGUGGAAUGCGCAGAUAUCAGGAGGAAUACCGGUGGCGAAGGAGGGUCUCUGGGCUGUUACUGACACUGAGGAGCGAAAGCAUGGGGAGCGAACAGG
RNAcentral lists this ribosomal RNA (419 nucleotides) under bacterium. Its description in RNAcentral is "partial 16S ribosomal RNA". It matches the Rfam family "Bacterial small subunit ribosomal RNA", at positions 355 to 776 of the family's 1533-position model. The record is from RNAcentral.